AAGCACUCCAUGCUAGUAGAGUUUGUGCAUCAAUAAAGGUUUCCACAGAUAUUUUCUUAAAGAGCACAAGAUAUCCAAACAGGAAGGUUGCCUUAGGCAGAGUACUUAGCCAGGACCCCAAAACCAAAGUUGGAGAUGUUGCUUUAGGCAAAGAAUUUUGGAUGGUGCGUGUUAGUCUGGUAUCUGUGCGCGAUGAACCACUAAUAAGGCCAUAUAACAACUUCAAGGUUCUUGGACAAGUAGGCAAUAAUCCAAUUGCAUGGCCUUCAAGUUGUAUUGAAAAGGUUAACUGAUAACAUGGGAUGAAUAAUAGCGCCGGGAUUGCUAAGACUAGUUGAGUGAUGUGGGGGAGGGUACACCAAUAAAAAAGUGACCCUAGAAACAUGGAUGACGAGUAUGGUGGUGUAAUAGUGAAUUCUAAGAUUGAUUCUUUGCUUGAUCCAAAGGACCAGGUAACCUUGUCAAUCAUACUCUCUAAAUCAUAUUAUCUACAUACUCGAAGGAUUGUAAUCUUUGUCAUUGCCAUCUUCAUUUCCUUGUGCUUGAUCAAGCCAAGAAUUUUCUGUAGUUUAUCAUCCCAUGGUAACAAUGCUUAGUUUUAACACCACAGGUUGUGUGGCCGAAGUUGGAGCUGUGAGGACUCAUAGAGCAGAGAAGAGUUGUUCUCAGUUAUGAACUUGGAACACUAUGAAGAUGCAAGGGCUUACUGCAUAUGGAUAUUUGUUUUAUUUGGAUCUAGAUUACGGAUGACUAUGAGUCAUAUGUAAAUAUGUUUUUAUCGUACCACUCAAACAUAUAUUAUAUAUGAAACUAUGGAUCAACUUCUUGUAAUGCAAUUAUUGAUUUUUUAUAUUAUUUUU
Molecule: long non-coding RNA, 860 nt
Organism: Zea mays
Lineage: Eukaryota; Viridiplantae; Streptophyta; Magnoliopsida; Poales; Poaceae
Exons: 5
Source: RefSeq, a predicted model, not a curated record